Molecule: ribosomal RNA, 2755 nt
Filed under: Klebsiella pneumoniae subsp. pneumoniae
Lineage: Bacteria; Pseudomonadati; Pseudomonadota; Gammaproteobacteria; Enterobacterales; Enterobacteriaceae
Description: bacterial LSU rRNA
Rfam family: Bacterial large subunit ribosomal RNA
Source: RNAcentral
ACUAUCGUUAACUGAAUACAUAGGUUAACGAGGCGAACCGGGGGAACUGAAACAUCUAAGUACCCCGAGGAAAAGAAAUCAACCGAGAUUCCCCCAGUAGCGGCGAGCGAACGGGGAGCAGCCCAGAGUCUGAAUCAGCUUGUGUGUUAGUGGAACGGUCUGGAAAGUCCGACGGUACAGGGUGAUAGUCCCGUACACCAAAAUGCACAGGCUGUGAACUCGAAGAGUAGGGCGGGACACGUGGUAUCCUGUCUGAAUAUGGGGGGACCAUCCUCCAAGGCUAAAUACUCCUGACUGACCGAUAGUGAACCAGUACCGUGAGGGAAAGGCGAAAAGAACCCCGGCGAGGGGAGUGAAAAAGAACCUGAAACCGUGUACGUACAAGCAGUGGGAGCACCUUCGGGUGUGACUGCGUACCUUUUGUAUAAUGGGUCAGCGACUUAUAUUCUGUAGCAAGGUUAACCGUAUAGGGGAGCCGCAGGGAAACCGAGUCUUAACUGGGCGUUAAGUUGCAGGGUAUAGACCCGAAACCCGGUGAUCUAGCCAUGGGCAGGUUGAAGGUUGGGUAACACUAACUGGAGGACCGAACCGACUAAUGUUGAAAAAUUAGCGGAUGACUUGUGGCUGGGGGUGAAAGGCCAAUCAAACCGGGAGAUAGCUGGUUCUCCCCGAAAGCUAUUUAGGUAGCGCCUCGUGAAUUCAUCUUCGGGGGUAGAGCACUGUUUCGGCUAGGGGGUCAUCCCGACUUACCAACCCGAUGCAAACUACGAAUACCGAAGAAUGUUAUCACGGGAGACACACGGCGGGUGCUAACGUCCGUCGUGAAGAGGGAAACAACCCAGACCGCCAGCUAAGGUCCCAAAGUCAUGGUUAAGUGGGAAACGAUGUGGGAAGGCACAGACAGCCAGGAUGUUGGCUUAGAAGCAGCCAUCAUUUAAAGAAAGCGUAAUAGCUCACUGGUCGAGUCGGCCUGCGCGGAAGAUGUAACGGGGCUAAACCAUGCACCGAAGCUGCGGCAGCGACACUAUGUGUUGUUGGGUAGGGGAGCGUUCUGUAAGCCUGCGAAGGUGUGCUGUGAGGCAUGCUGGAGGUAUCAGAAGUGCGAAUGCUGACAUAAGUAACGAUAAAGCGGGUGAAAAGCCCGCUCGCCGGAAGACCAAGGGUUCCUGUCCAACGUUAAUCGGGGCAGGGUGAGUCGACCCCUAAGGCGAGGCCGAAAGGCGUAGUCGAUGGGAAACAGGUUAAUAUUCCUGUACUUGGUGUUACUGCGAAGGGGGGACGGAGAAGGCUAUGUUAGCCGGGCGACGGUUGUCCCGGUUUAAGCAUGUAGGCUGAUUGUCCAGGCAAAUCCGGAUAAUCAAGGCUGAGGUGUGAUGACGAGGCACUACGGUGCUGAAGUAACAAAUGCCCUGCUUCCAGGAAAAGCCUCUAAGCAUCAGGUAACAUCAAAUCGUACCCCAAACCGACACAGGUGGUCAGGUAGAGAAUACCAAGGCGCUUGAGAGAACUCGGGUGAAGGAACUAGGCAAAAUGGUGCCGUAACUUCGGGAGAAGGCACGCUGGUGUGUAGGUGAAGUCCCUGCGGAUGGAGCUGAGACCAGUCGAAGAUACCAGCUGGCUGCAACUGUUUAUUAAAAACACAGCACUGUGCAAACACGAAAGUGGACGUAUACGGUGUGACGCCUGCCCGGUGCCGGAAGGUUAAUUGAUGGGGUUAUCCGUAAGGAGAAGCUCUUGAUCGAAGCCCCGGUAAACGGCGGCCGUAACUAUAACGGUCCUAAGGUAGCGAAAUUCCUUGUCGGGUAAGUUCCGACCUGCACGAAUGGCGUAAUGAUGGCCAGGCUGUCUCCACCCGAGACUCAGUGAAAUUGAACUCGCUGUGAAGAUGCAGUGUACCCGCGGCAAGACGGAAAGACCCCGUGAACCUUUACUAUAGCUUGACACUGAACAUUGAGCCUUGAUGUGUAGGAUAGGUGGGAGGCUUUGAAGCGUGGACGCCAGUCUGCGUGGAGCCAACCUUGAAAUACCACCCUUUAAUGUUUGAUGUUCUAACGUUGGCCCCUUACCGGGGUUGCGGACAGUGUCUGGUGGGUAGUUUGACUGGGGCGGUCUCCUCCCAAAGCGUAACGGAGGAGCACGAAGGUUAGCUAAUCCUGGUCGGACAUCAGGAGGUUAGUGCAAUGGCAUAAGCUAGCUUGACUGCGAGCGUGACGGCGCGAGCAGGUGCGAAAGCAGGUCAUAGUGAUCCGGUGGUUCUGAAUGGAAGGGCCAUCGCUCAACGGAUAAAAGGUACUCCGGGGAUAACAGGCUGAUACCGCCCAAGAGUUCAUAUCGACGGCGGUGUUUGGCACCUCGAUGUCGGCUCAUCACAUCCUGGGGCUGAAGUAGGUCCCAAGGGUAUGGCUGUUCGCCAUUUAAAGUGGUACGCGAGCUGGGUUUAGAACGUCGUGAGACAGUUCGGUCCCUAUCUGCCGUGGGCGCUGGAGAAUUGAGGGGGGCUGCUCCUAGUACGAGAGGACCGGAGUGGACGCAUCACUGGUGUUCGGGUUGUCAUGCCAAUGGCACUGCCCGGUAGCUAAAUGCGGAAGAGAUAAGUGCUGAAAGCAUCUAAGCACGAAACUUGCCCCGAGAUGAGUUCUCCCUGAGACUUUAAGUCUCCUGAAGGAACGUUAAAGACGAUGACGUUGAUAGGCCGGGUGUGUAAGCGCAGCGAUGCGUUGAGCUAACCGGUACUAAUGAACCGUGAGGCUUAACC